RNAcentral lists this ribosomal RNA (647 nucleotides) under Staphylococcus sp. Its description in RNAcentral is "bacterial SSU rRNA". It matches the Rfam family "Bacterial small subunit ribosomal RNA", at positions 217 to 855 of the family's 1533-position model. The record is from RNAcentral. Lineage: Bacteria; Bacillati; Bacillota; Bacilli; Caryophanales; Staphylococcaceae.
ACUUAUAGAUGGACCCGCGCCGUAUUAGCUAGUUGGUAAGGUAACGGCUUACCAAGGCGACGAUACGUAGCCGACCUGAGAGGGUGAUCGGCCACACUGGAACUGAGACACGGUCCAGACUCCUACGGGAGGCAGCAGUAGGGAAUCUUCCGCAAUGGGCGAAAGCCUGACGGAGCAACGCCGCGUGAGUGAUGAAGGGUUUCGGCUCGUAAAACUCUGUUAUUAGGGAAGAACAAAUGUGUAAGUAACUGUGCACGUCUUGACGGUACCUAAUCAGAAAGCCACGGCUAACUACGUGCCAGCAGCCGCGGUAAUACGUAGGUGGCAAGCGUUAUCCGGAAUUAUUGGGCGUAAAGCGCGCGUAGGCGGUUUCUUAAGUCUGAUGUGAAAGCCCACGGCUCAACCGUGGAGGGUCAUUGGAAACUGGGAAACUUGAGUGCAGAAGAGGAAAGUGGAAUUCCAUGUGUAGCGGUGAAAUGCGCAGAGAUAUGGAGGAACACCAGUGGCGAAGGCGACUUUCUGGUCUGUAACUGACGCUGAUGUGCGAAAGCGUGGGGAUCAAACAGGAUUAGAUACCCUGGUAGUCCACGCCGUAAACGAUGAGUGCUAAGUGUUAGGGGGUUUCCGCCCCUUAGUGCUGCAGCUAA